UGUAAGAAUAUAUGGUUUUUCGUAUGAUAUUCAUUCUCUGUUCUUUUUCUUUUAUAAUUGCUAUUUCUGACUCUUAGGUGUUUUAUAUCUUCCCAUUAAUUUUUCUCGAUUUUUUUGCUUUAUGGUCCUUCAUUUUUGGAAGAUUCAUCGUGUAGUUAUGUUUUGCUCUUUUUUCCAAUUUCUCUUUUCUUUCUUAGGUAUAAAGGGACAUGGGUUUUCUUGUUUAUUCAGUUCUUUGUACAUUUUUUAUGACAAAAAAAAUGAAAAAAUUGGCGAUGAUUUGUUUCGAUAAAGACUUAUAGAUCUUCAUCAAAAUCUUUCAGAUUAGCAUUUCAUAGAGAUGUGGAGUUUACUGUUAGUAGUGUUGUAGAAUGCUGUUUAGUUGAUGAUCGAAAAUUUCACGUGUUUGUUCACUGUAUAACCUAUCUUUUUACUCUGCAUUUGUAUUUUGCAUCUCUCUUUUUUCCCUCUCUUGCUCUCCCAUUUUCAGAUUUUUGGUUCGGGACUUCUCUGGCAAUAUUCAACUAAUAACCAUUGAAUCUGGCCAUAAGCUAAAUUACAGAUUUCUUGACAGCAUAUUGCCACAACAAACACUUAGACUUGGCACAACCACUUGUUCAUCAAUGAUUCUGUUAUCAAGAAAAUUUGAUUCAUGCUGGCUGAACACAUUGUUUGCUUAUUGUCCGGCUUCACUACUCCAUUAGCAAUCUGCGCUAAUCCCUAAUCUUCACUGGGUUGUUUCCACCUUCAGUUUUUGUUGAAGAUAAAUUCUUCAUACAUGCUGAAGUGUAUUUUGUUAUAGGUUUCAUUGAGAGCUUAAUAUGGGUGCUGCAAUGUUUGAUCCUUGAUGGCUGGAUAUAGUAAAUUGCUGUGUUUAGUAAAGUUCUCGUCAAUAUGAUUUUUUCGUCUUUCUUUA
This is a long non-coding RNA of Solanum dulcamara, 916 nucleotides long. RefSeq lists it as uncharacterized. NCBI's taxonomy places the organism in Eukaryota, Viridiplantae, Streptophyta, Magnoliopsida, Solanales, Solanaceae. The transcript is spliced from 2 exons. The record is from RefSeq and is a predicted model, not a curated record.